RNAcentral lists this ribosomal RNA (472 nucleotides) under uncultured Terriglobales bacterium. Its description in RNAcentral is "bacterial SSU rRNA". It matches the Rfam family "Bacterial small subunit ribosomal RNA", at positions 72 to 523 of the family's 1533-position model. The record is from RNAcentral. Lineage: Bacteria; Pseudomonadati; Acidobacteriota; Terriglobia; Terriglobales.
AAGUGGAGCAAUCCAUGAGUAGAGUGGCAAACGGGUGAGUAACACGUGGGUGACCUGCCUUCGAGUGGGGGAUAACGUCCCGAAAGGGACGCUAAUACCGCAUAACAUGCUGUCUUUUAAGAGAUGGACAUCAAAGCUGGGGACCGAAAGGCCUGGCGCUUGAAGAGGGGCCCGCGCCUGAUUAGCUAGUUGGUGGGGUAAUGGCUCACCAAGGCAACGAUCAGUAUCCGGCCUGAGAGGGCGGACGGACACACUGGGACUGAGACACGGCCCAGACUCCUACGGGAGGCAGCAGUGGGGAAUUGUUCGCAAUGGGCGCAAGCCUGACGACGCAACGCCGCGUGGAGGAUGAAGAUCUUCGGGUCGUAAACUCCUUUCGAUCGAGACGAACGGCCUUCGGGUUAAUAGCCCGGAGGAGUGACGGUACCGAGAGAAGAAGCCCCGGCUAACUCCGUGCCAGCAGCCGCGGUAC